This 805-nucleotide long non-coding RNA is filed under the name Rattus norvegicus (Norway rat). RNAcentral's name for it is "long non-coding RNA NONRATT031045". The record is from RNAcentral. Lineage: Eukaryota; Metazoa; Chordata; Mammalia; Rodentia; Muridae.
CUUUUUUUAAUUGUCAAAAUACUUUGUCAAAAUGACAGAAAUUCAAGAAUUGCUUCUAUUGUUCUUCAAAACAAAUUUCUCUUUUCCAGGUUUUUUGGUUUGUUUGUUUAUUUUGUGUGUGUAUGUGUGUGGGAGGGGGUAGGGCUCUUGGGACAGAGCCUAAGGUCUUGCCCUUGUACCAGUGAGCUACAUUUCUACACUUCUCUAGGUAAAUCAGUCUCUUUCUUCUUUCUCCAGACAAUACUUGCACUUUCUUACCUCUGUUCUCUCUUUCUGUCUGACCUCUAUACUCAAAUAUACUCACCCCCCACUGUCCUUGUCUUACCUAUUUUUCAGGCACCAGGCUUAGGUCUCACAUAUUUUCUGAGACUUUCUCUAUCAAUUCUUACCAACAGUGAUCUCUCCAUUUUUUUUUUCCUGAAAUUACUGUCCACAUCAGUCAGUUGGCACUUUUUUUAAACAUUUCUUGAAAUUAUGGACACUAAUUUAAGUUAUCAGUUAAUUAUUCAUGCAUGCUUGCCUUGUGUACCCCACCUGUAAACCUCUUGAGUUAAUGGAAUAUAGGUAAAAGAACACAGGAUCGAAGAUCAGAACACCCAAGUUUGGCCUUGAAUCUCAAAAGGGGGCUCAGGUGUGCCACCUUGGAUGAGUCACUCAAAUUCUUUGAGCCAGAAUUUCAUCAUCUAUGAAAUGAAGAUCAUAAUCUCAGCUUUAUGUAAUUCUUCAGGUUGCAGCGAGGCUGUGCAGUGCUAGAGUGCUAAACAAAUAUCAUUCUGUUUGUUUAAAUAAAUGGUGCUUAAUAAAU